UCUAUCCGAGGCUGGUGAGCGAGGGAGUUUUGGGAAGGGACGGCGCGGCGGCGUAUUUGGGGAGAAGAGGGAGGGGUGGGCGGCGGCGGCGGCGCUGUUGGUAGGCGGGUCGCGUCGGUACCGCGGCCGGGGGCGCGGCUAAGCGCUGGAGGAGUGGAGGAAGUCGGUGAGCAGGCUGAAGGAGCGGGAGAGCAGCCCGCUGCCGGCGUAGUUCCAUACCCUGCGGCACGCGCCCGUGAACGUCUGCCUCAAGCGGCUGUAGGGGAGCCACCUCCAGCCCCGCGAGGCGCUCUGCUUCGCGCCGGUGGAGCGGGAGCUGAUGUGGACGUACUUCACCCAUGUUGAGAGGUGGUUCUUCUUCUCCUUCCGACCCUCGAGCGACGAGCACGAACCCUGCCCGUCACCUCUACAGGAACGUGAGCUGCAACGACGCCCGGUAACCUUCACCUCCUAGUCGCUAACAGUAGGACCUCCACACUGUCGUCACCGUAUGAGCUCCGUACCCGCCUCACACAUGUGUCGUCCACGACUACCGUACCAGACAUUCUAACUACGGAGUCUACCUAGACAACGUCCCUUUAAAUUUAGAAGGAGGUUCCGUUAUAGACGCAACCGUCAAAGUAGUCUACCUUGUCAAAACCGUUGUCGUCGACCAGUCAACUCCUGGAAACUGCGAAGACUGUUGUUUUUUUAAGUUUUUAAGAGACCCGUAGGCCACAGACACUCUUUGUACUAAAAAUCAUUGUUACCGUUUAUACAAGACAGUAGACCUCAACCCCUUGCGAUACAACGGUAAACCCUCAACCCGUCACCAUUUUCAGUCUCAAGUUCGACAUAUGAGAGAUACCAUGUGGGUCGUUAGAAACACCUGACGUACACAAGUCCAUGAUUACGAUGACUUCCUCUUUAUCUACACAACCGAUAUAGACUCCAACCAUAGACGAUAAAGACCAGACCCUUAUUGUACCUACUGAACGCGUUAUUCUUCGGAUGAUCCUAACGGAACAGGCUCAGGAGGGAAAGUUCUUGCUUAGUCCUAAAGUGCUAUAAACGGCGUUUUGAAGUUCCUUAUCUACCUGGAUUAAGCCGAGUACAGGAAGACCGUAUACCUAGGCACCACUUUGGUAGAAAACUAUUCGACGACCAAACAAUACCAUUCCUACAAUUAAACCCACAUAGACUUCUACCUCAAGAGAAUGGAUGUCAAGUUGGGUGGUACGUGGUCUUUCCAGUUAGACGAUUUUGUUUUCAUUGAUAGUGACGAGAUCUGGCGCGCUUACGUCUUCUACGGUAAGAAGGAGAAGGCUUCGAAGUAUGUGUUCUUUUUUUUUCCUUUGUACCACAUUGUUUUGGCUCACCGCAGUUUGAACGCUAACUAUCACUGGAACCAUGGUGAAGUUCCAACUGGCUCUUUUCUCAAGGCCACGUUUCUUAAUUUUUGCUGUCGUAUACGUAACUUCUAGACUACUCCUUUAUACCGCAGUAACUAGUUUCAGAGCAGCCGGUAGGACUGUACCGGUGAUUUUAGAAUAGUCUAGACAAAUCAUCGUCACCGUAUUGUUAACUGCGAUUAAAUGGGUCGUUCUUCUAAGCUCGUGUAGAUUCUAGAAAUUUCGGACCUCUACGAACGUUCGAAGAUCUCUUAAAUCAUACACGUACCUCUAGUUCUAGACCAUCGCGACUCGAACAAAACGCAACCUAUAUGACGAAUGAUCAUUAAGUACCAGCAAAAUAGGGGAGCCUCUUUAGUUCUUUUGAUUAAUCGCUGGACCUCUUCUACACACGUCUUUCUAUGUGUCGUUGACUUCUAAAUGACUUCGAAAGACCAGCAGAAGCCGACUAUUACCGUGUCCAACUGUUCCUACACUUUCUACACAGCCGCUUCCGGCGUCAGGUUAGACUACUUCUCCUUCUUCUACUUUAACUACUUUACCACAUACCACUUCUGCACCUAAACAGACUUUUAUCACUGCUACUACGGCUCAUCUUAGCGUCGUAACAACCGUACAGAGGCUCUCUAACAAGCUGAAACACAUGACAGUUCUACAUAAAAAGUUCGAAAGGUAUCAACUCAAACAUUUUGGCGCGUUGCUGCCUUCCAACGUGAUUAAAACUGUCGUCCUCCAUUAUAGACUUUCCGUAAAAACAUACCUUUGAAUAGGAUAGAUACGUAGGCUCUCUGAAACGCGUAGGUACGUAGACUUAACGUCCUCGUUGUAGCUUUGUCACUAAUUAAACGUCAAUUUGCGGGG
Molecule: ribosomal RNA, 2252 nt
Filed under: Triticum aestivum (bread wheat)
Lineage: Eukaryota; Viridiplantae; Streptophyta; Magnoliopsida; Poales; Poaceae
Description: partial small subunit ribosomal RNA
Source: RNAcentral